GAUAACCCGUUGAAAGACGGACUAAUACCGUAUGACGUCGUUUGCUGACAUCAAAUAACGAUUAAAGGUUUAGCGGUGAUGGAUGGGGAUGCGUCUGAUUAGCUUGUUGGCGGGGUAACGGGCCCACCAAGGCGACGAUCAGUAGGGGUUCUGAGAGGAAGGUCCCCCACAUUGGAACUGAGACACGGUCCAA
Molecule: ribosomal RNA, 193 nt
Filed under: uncultured Bacteroidales bacterium
Lineage: Bacteria; Pseudomonadati; Bacteroidota; Bacteroidia; Bacteroidales
Description: partial 16S ribosomal RNA
Rfam family: Bacterial small subunit ribosomal RNA
Source: RNAcentral